Molecule: non-coding RNA, 1412 nt
Organism: Peromyscus maniculatus bairdii (prairie deer mouse)
Lineage: Eukaryota; Metazoa; Chordata; Mammalia; Rodentia; Cricetidae
Source: RefSeq, a predicted model, not a curated record
GAAGUAAACUCUGUUGCUAUUUCUGGACCAAAUGUAUAUACUUCAGGUGCAUCUCCUGCAUCAUCUGUAUAACAGCUCUUAGUGUUUCUGAGUAAUGCCACGAUCACAGUGGAGUGAAUCUUGCUCUUAGAUCAACCACUCUGCAAUUAGUAAAGGGUAUCAGUCACCGCAGGACCAGACAUUUUGCCGUGGCUAAACACGCAGAAGAAAUGUCUGCUUUGUCAUGCUCCUUCCAAACAAGCAGAAAGAACUGAGCCUUUCCUUCUGCAGAAUCCCUUGACGACCUGGGUCAGAGACCUCACCUGACCUGCCUCUCAGAGUGUCACCCAGUGAUGUCAAGGCAAGCUGACGGAGGGAGUGGGGAGACAGCGUGAACCCGUCUUUCCCCAGCAUGCGUUAAACACAGACGGCGGCAUAGGGCUGUGGUAUAAACUCUUGAGACAGAUCCGCCACUGGAAGCUUUACAUCGCCCUGCUGCUACCAUAGCAACAGCCAGAGCUCCAGGUUCUGCCUGAGCCCUGCCUCCAGCCCUUGGCCGCUGAGCCGUGACUGCUGUGUCCUCUGGGAGGACCCAGCGUACAGACUGAAGGGCACUUGGGCAGCGGAAGAGAGACGCUGUUCCUUUCCGCUUCUCAUAACCAGGUUGCUGUUUCCAGAGAGAAGCCACCUGCUGUGUGGGUGCGGCUCAGUGGCUCUGGGGUAGGGGUGCUCCCUAGGGAUAGGGACAGAUGUGAGCUGGGGGGGCCUAGGGGGCCUCAUCCCCUCCCAGUUCUACAACCGAACAAUCCUUAGCAAGUGUGUGUGGUGGAGGGGAGAAGCAAAGGCCUGAAUGGUGUCCGGCAUGACGUGACAGCCUGGUUUGGAGAAUGCACUGCAUGACAAGACUUUACCAUAGGAGCUACAGCCAACACUAACACACUGGAGACUGGAAGGCUUCUUGACGUGAGGGCACACACCGCUUCGGCUGCCAACUGUGCAAAUGGAUUUAUGACACUGAACACCUCCCCGCUCACAUCUUCUUCUGUUUUCUUCACACUGUUUGAGUUCUCUCGUCUCUCUGAGACAUUUGCCUCAGAUGCCACAGCACCAGUGACUUCUUGGAUCGUAAGAGUGGGGUUUGCAGCCUAGAAGGACAGAUAUCCUGACCACAGAGAAACCUAGGGUCCAGUUCAGAACUCACUCCACCUGCUACUCAAUGGACCUCUGUCACUGGCCUCUGGCAAUGGGACCUAGGGCCCAUCCAAGCAGUUAUCAUCGUCUGCAUUAGUUUAUUAACCUUGAGAGACUUCAGGCUUUGUUUCCCCUAUCAAUCAAGUCAACCCUUUAUUGCUGCUCUUGUUCAGUGAGUCCUUAUUCAAGACUUUUUGUUAUAAUAGCAUAUUUAACUAGAAUAUCUCUGUUUUGAAACUGAA